CCCUCUAACCACUUCGAAAAGGUUGUUCUAAUACGUGUGUGGUUACUUUAACUUUGGUUUUGUUUUAUGACACGUAUGCCUGCUGGAUUUAUAGUCCACCAAGAGGAACCCAUUAGACCUCACUUUCUAGGAACACUGCUUUUUAUUAUCUUAAUAUUUCAUUUAUUUUCUCAUCCUCAUCCUGCAAAAUUUUUACAUCCAGAUGCAGUGGUGCUCUUUUUGCUUGUGUGGCAGCAGCUCAA
This is a long non-coding RNA of Chiroxiphia lanceolata (lance-tailed manakin), 242 nucleotides long. RefSeq lists it as uncharacterized. Lineage: Eukaryota; Metazoa; Chordata; Aves; Passeriformes; Pipridae. The record is from RefSeq and is a predicted model, not a curated record. The transcript has 3 exons.